Molecule: non-coding RNA, 95 nt
Organism: Flammula alnicola
Lineage: Eukaryota; Fungi; Basidiomycota; Agaricomycetes; Agaricales; Strophariaceae
Source: the annotation of a GenBank genome assembly
UCUUUGUUAGUAUAUCGGUUAGUACACGCGCCUGUCAUUCCUGUAAAUUUCACAAUAGACCGCGCGAAAGCUGGGUUCGACUCCCAGACAGAGAG